This 468-nucleotide ribosomal RNA is filed under the name uncultured bacterium. Its description in RNAcentral is "partial 16S ribosomal RNA". It matches the Rfam family "Bacterial small subunit ribosomal RNA", at positions 28 to 507 of the family's 1533-position model. The record is from RNAcentral.
GACGAACGCUGGCGGCGUGCUUAACACAUGCAAGUCGAACGGAAAGGCCCUGCUUUUGUGGGGUGCUCGAGUGGCGAACGGGUGAGUAACACGUGAGUAACCUGCCCUUGACUUUGGGAUAACUUCAGGAAACUGGGGCUAAUACCGGAUAGGAGCUCCCGCUGCAUGGUGGGGGUUGGAAAGUUUCGGCGGUUGGGGAUGGACUCGCGGCUUAUCAGCUUGUUGGUGGGGUAGUGGCUUACCAAGGCUUUGACGGGUAGCCGGCCUGAGAGGGUGACCGGCCACAUUGGGACUGAGAUACGGCCCAGACUCCUACGGGAGGCAGCGGUGGGGAAUAUGGCACAAUGGGCGGAAGCCUGAUGCAGCAACGCCGCGUGCGGGAUGACGGCCUGCGGGUUGUAAACCGCUUUCGCCUGUGACGAAGCGUGAGUGACGGUAAUGGGUAAAGAAGCACCGGCUAACUACGUG